GCCUACGGCCAUACCACCCUGAGAACGCCCGAUCCCGUCUGAUCUCGGAAGCUAAGCAGGGUCGGGCCCGGUUAGUACUUGGAUGGGAGACCGCCUGGGAAUACCGGGUGCUGUAGGCA
RNAcentral lists this ribosomal RNA (119 nucleotides) under Cyanistes caeruleus (blue tit). The record is from RNAcentral. Lineage: Eukaryota; Metazoa; Chordata; Aves; Passeriformes; Paridae.